Long non-coding RNA from Grammomys surdaster, 1722 nucleotides. RefSeq lists it as uncharacterized. Lineage: Eukaryota; Metazoa; Chordata; Mammalia; Rodentia; Muridae. The transcript has 2 exons. The record is from RefSeq and is a predicted model, not a curated record.
CAAAGUCACAAAGAUUUGGAUUAACAGUCUUGGUGUGAUACUGGACACUUGGUUCAUCAACGCCCUGCCCCUAGAGGCGUUGCAGGUGUGGCUGCUGUGUCACAUAUGUGUCAGUAGGUGGCAGAGAGGAGAGAGGCUAUGUCUAAGCUCUGUUCUGACCUGUGAACAUCUGAAUGACUUGUAGCCAGACAGCACUCCCUAAAGCUGGAAGUGGGAUUGUGCUUCCUUGUUGUUGAUUGGCUUAGGUCAUUUGAUGGCUCUGCAUACAUAAACCCAAUAGAGGGGCUGGUCUGUAAAGAGGAAGUUUCAGAUGAAUUGGUUUGUUGGAAAUCAUGAAAUCAGUAACCUCCAGGAAUCCUGGGGCGCGUGUUUCUCUUCUCACCAGCUUGGGUCAAGAGACUUUGAAAAAACAACAGUGGAUGGAAGCAGUGAUGGCGUCUGUCUUAGUCAGGGUUUUACUGCUAUGAAACACCAUUACCAAACAGCAAGUUGGGGAGGGAAGUGUUUAUUCCGCUCGCACUUACACAUUGCUGUCUAUUGCCAAAGGAAGUCAAGGCAAAACCUGGAGGCAGCUGAUGCAGAGGCCAUGAAAGGGAGCUACUUAUGUAUGAGUGCUCUACGUGCACUGCACACCAGGAAAAGCCGUCAGAGCCUCUUCUAGAAUUGAACUCAGCAGUCCGUGUUCUUAACCACUGAGCCAUCACGCCAACCCCAAAAAGAGGUUAGGCUUUGAGAUAGGGUUUUCUUAUGACCUUGGCUGUCCUCUAAUGCAAAGAUCUGCUCUACCACCAGUCCAGGGAUGGUACCAUCCACAAUGGGCUGGGUUAUCCCCACUGCUCACUAAUUAAGAAAAUGCCUCACGGUUGGAUCUCAUGGAAGCAUUUCCUAAGCAGAGUCUCAUGAUUCUAAUACAGCUCAAUGGUGCUCAGGCCUGAGUCUCCAUCCCUGGCACCACAGACAAGUGGAACUGAUAAUGGGAAGAGAAGUGGUUCAUCACGAAGCACCAUGAUUUCAGAAUAUGGGAGUAUGGUGGGACAGCUAACAGUGAUACCUUUAAAACACAAGGGUAAAGGGGCUCACUGCUGCUGUAGGCCUCCAGAGAUCUGGGGGUGCAACACUUGUGGAUUAGGAGGGUCUACAUUGAUUGUUUUCUUUGGUACAGGAAAGUUGAUGACUAAACUCUGCUUAUGAGGAAUGCCCAGUUGAGAUUCAGAAACCAAGAAGGGGGCCUACUUGGACAAGAUGGCUGUAUCAGGAUGGGUGCAGGUACGAUUUUAGACCAUGGGCCUGAGGUAUGCCCUCUGACCUCACCAGGGUCCUACAGACCCACCCAUACAGGCUUUGGGCAGCUCUAAAUUUACCCUGGUGACUAGCCCGUGUCCUAAAUUAUCAACUGGAUUGGGUUGGCUUGGGUUUGACUCUAUUUCUAAGACUAGUGAAGCGAGAUCUGUGGUAGUGGCACUAGGGAUGGGGGACCCUCUAAGACUCAACAUCAACAUCUCUAACUGUACUGUACAUGGCCUUAAAAGAGAAUUAUGAGUUGGGUGGUGAUAGCUGAUCCUUUGAGUUCAAGGCCAGCCUGGUCUGCAAAGCAAGUUCCAGGAUAGCCAGAACUACUACAAGAAGAAACUCUGUCUUGAAAAACAUUUUUAAAAGGAGAGAAUGAUACAGGAGGGGAAACUGGCUGGAUGCUGUGACACAAAUAAAAACUUGAUUCUUGAA